GACGAACGCUGGCGGCGUGCCUAAUACAUGCAAGUAGAACGCUGAAGGAGGAGCUUGCUUCUCUGGAUGAGUUGCGAACGGGUGAGUAACGCGUAGGUAACCUGCCUGGUAGCGGGGGAUAACUAUUGGAAACGAUAGCUAAUACCGCAUAAGAGUAGAUGUUGCAUGACAUUUGCUUAAAAGGUGCAAUUGCAUCACUACCAGAUGGACCUGCGUUGUAUUAGCUAGUUGGUGGGGUAACGGCUCACCAAGGCGACGAUACAUAGCCGACCUGGGAGGGUGAUCGGCCACACUGGGACUGGGACACGGCCCAGACUCCUACGGGAGGCAGCAGUAGGGAAUCUUCGGCAAUGGACGGAAGUCUGACCGAGCAACGCCGCGUGAGUGAAGAAGGUUUUCGGAUCGUAAAGCUCUGUUGUAAGAGAAGAACGAGUGUGAGAGUGGAAAGUUCACACUGUGACGGUAUCUUACCAGAAAGGGACGGCUAACUACGUG
RNAcentral lists this ribosomal RNA (495 nucleotides) under uncultured bacterium. RNAcentral's name for it is "partial 16S ribosomal RNA". It matches the Rfam family "Bacterial small subunit ribosomal RNA", at positions 28 to 507 of the family's 1533-position model. The record is from RNAcentral.